Molecule: transfer RNA, 73 nt
Filed under: Polychrus marmoratus (common monkey lizard)
Lineage: Eukaryota; Metazoa; Chordata; Lepidosauria; Squamata; Polychrotidae
Description: tRNA-Phe
Rfam family: tRNA
About the family: Transfer RNA (tRNA) molecules are approximately 80 nucleotides in length. Their secondary structure includes four short double-helical elements and three loops (D, anti-codon, and T loops). Further hydrogen bonds mediate the characteristic L-shaped molecular structure. tRNAs have two regions of fundamental functional importance: the anti-codon, which is responsible for specific mRNA codon recognition, and the 3' end, to which the tRNAs corresponding amino acid is attached (by aminoacyl-tRNA synthetases). tRNAs cope with the degeneracy of the genetic code in two manners: having more than one tRNA (with a specific anti-codon) for a particular amino acid; and 'wobble' base-pairing, i.e. permitting non-standard base-pairing at the 3rd anti-codon position.
Source: RNAcentral
GUUAUUGUAGCUUAUUUAUUAAAGCACGGCACUGAAAAUGCCGCGAUGGGGCAUAUUAUUACCCCCAAAAACA